ACGCUCGACACCUACUGGAGGCAGCAGUGGGGAAUAUUGCACAAUGGGGGAAACCCUGAUGCAGCGAUGCCGCGUGAAGGAAGAAGUAUCUCGGUAUGUAAACUUCUAUCAGCAGGGAAGAAAAUGACGGUACCUGACUAAGAAGCCCCGGCUAACUACGUGCCAACAGCCGCGGUAAUCUGAGCGGGCGUGGCAAGGC
RNAcentral lists this ribosomal RNA (199 nucleotides) under uncultured bacterium. RNAcentral's name for it is "partial 16S ribosomal RNA". It matches the Rfam family "Bacterial small subunit ribosomal RNA", at positions 328 to 538 of the family's 1533-position model. The record is from RNAcentral.